GAGCAUGAUGAGUAUGAUUUUGUCGCCCCAGUCUUAGGAUCCGAAUUACGGAUCUGUGCUGAUUGACAUGUUAUCAAAUCUGACUC
Small nucleolar RNA from Oryza sativa (Asian cultivated rice), 86 nucleotides. It matches the Rfam family "Small nucleolar RNA U31b". Lineage: Eukaryota; Viridiplantae; Streptophyta; Magnoliopsida; Poales; Poaceae. The record is from Rfam.